RNAcentral lists this ribosomal RNA (661 nucleotides) under uncultured fungus. RNAcentral's name for it is "eukaryotic LSU rRNA". It matches the Rfam family "Eukaryotic large subunit ribosomal RNA", at positions 24 to 664 of the family's 3401-position model. The record is from RNAcentral. Lineage: Eukaryota; Fungi.
CCCGCUGAACUUAAGCAUAUCAAUAAGCGGAGGAAAAGAAACUAACAAGGAUUCCCCUAGUAACUGCGAGUGAAGCGGGAAGAGCUCAAAUUUAAAAUCUGGCGGUCUCGCGGCCGUCCGAGUUGUAAUCUGGAGAAGCGUUUUCCGCGUCGGACCGUGUACAAGUCUUCUGGAACGGAGCGUCGUAGAGGGUGAGAAUCCCGUCUCUGACACGGACAGCCGAUGCUUCAUGUGAUACGCUCUCGAAGAGUCGAGUUGUUUGGGAAUGCAGCUCAAAAUGGGUGGUAAAUUCCAUCUAAAGCUAAAUAUUGGCGAGAGACCGAUAGCGAACAAGUACCGUGAGGGAAAGAUGAAAAGCACUUUGGAAAGAGAGUUAAACAGUACGUGAAAUUGUUGAAAGGGAAACGUUUGAAGUCAGUCGUGUCGUCCAGGGAUCAACCUUGCUUUUGCCUGGUGCACUUCCUGGUUUGACGGGUCAGCAUCAAUUUUGAUCAUUGGAAAAAGGCUAAGGGAAUGUGGCAUCUUUGGAUGUGUUAUAGCCCUUGGUCACAUACAAUGGUUGGGAUUGAGGAACUCAGCACGCCGCAAGGCCGGGUUUUAAACCACGUACGUGCUUAGGAUGCUGGCAAUAUGGCUUUAAUCGACCCGUCUUGAAACACGG